This 406-nucleotide ribosomal RNA is filed under the name uncultured bacterium. RNAcentral describes it as "partial 16S ribosomal RNA". It matches the Rfam family "Bacterial small subunit ribosomal RNA", at positions 30 to 526 of the family's 1533-position model. The record is from RNAcentral.
AUUGAACGCUGGCGGCAGGCCUAACACAUGCAAGUCGAGCGAGCGGCGGACGGGUGAGUAAUGAAUGGGGAUCUGCCUGAUGGAGGGGGAGAACUACUGGAAACUGUGGCUAAUACCGCAUACUAUCGGAUGAACCCAUUUGGGAUUGGCUAGUAGGUGUGGUAAAGGCUCACUUAGGCGACGAUAUCUAGCUGGUCUGAGAGGAUGAGCAGCCACACUGGGACGGAGACACGGCCCAGACUCCUACGGGAGGCAGCAGUGGGGAAUAUUGCGGAAGGGGCGGAGGCCAGAUGCAGCUAUGCCGCGUGUAUGAAGAAGGACUUAGGGUUGUAAAGUACUUUCAGCGGGGAGGCGUUACCCACAGAAGAAGCACCGGCUAAAUCCGUGCCAGCCGCCGCGGUAAUUC